Molecule: long non-coding RNA, 4355 nt
Organism: Apis florea (little honeybee)
Lineage: Eukaryota; Metazoa; Arthropoda; Insecta; Hymenoptera; Apidae
Source: RefSeq, a predicted model, not a curated record
UUUUCUUGCAAAUCAAAAACAUACAGUAUGUGAAAGAAAUUACUACUCUCGUUCGCUGAUUUAGUUUCGGUUCAUAAUGUCGUCACCAGACUGGUAAUGAUUGGUAUCGUGCGGCUGAAACCUGUGAAACCGCGCACGCGUAGAUUAAUAGUUAGGAACGAAUCGCUUAUUUCUCCUUCUCGCGCUGCUGUGCAGGAGGAGCAUAUCGAGCAAGCGACGUUCUCUCACGCGAUUGACGCGACACUUCGUGGAUCGUAAUAGACUAGUCGGUAAUUUCUUACUAAUAACCGUUUCGGUUCUUUUCUAGACUACUAGCAAUAAGUAAACUGCGUCUCGUUGCGAAUCGGCUGUGAUCAUCGCAUUUUUUGUGGAUACACUUUGAAAAUUGUCAAUCUCCGUGAAAUUUUUGUGUGGUUUUGUGUUGGAGAUGAUUGAUUCGAAAGCGGUAUUGCAAAUGAAAAUGGUUCAAGGAAAUAGAGAAGAAGAUAACAGAGAAAGUUUACGAGAUGGAAGUCGGAGUCAGGUUGUGAACAGAUGGCAAUUUGUAUUAGAUGGAAAAAUGAGGAAGGGCUGGAUCAAAGUCCUUGCGGUUGGAAUGUGCAAAAUACCAAGCGUAGCUGCACGCACGGCCCGGAAUCUCAGUGCACGGAAUUUCUCCACGAUUUCCCUCAAUGUUCCCUGUUCUCGAGAAACAGAUGUUUGAACGAAAGCGAGCAAGUGGCUAAUUGACUAACGAGCUAUUCGUGGCUCGUACAACAUUAGCCGUCAUAGUCAGAAAAUAUUGAGAGAUUGAGAGAAGAGGAAAAACGAGCAAAGCAACCGACACGGAUAGGAGAAAGACGAAGAAGAAAAAGAUCGUCUAAAGAAAAGAGAAUCGCGAAGAUGGGCGAUCCUGUUCGAGUAGUGGAUUGCUGGGCCAGUGAUGGUCCUAUUGCUUUUAAUGUAAUCGAGCCGGGCGUCCUUUAUCAUUGCGAGAAAAAAUGGCCAUUUAAUCACGGCGUUUCUCAACGUGGGGUCCGUGCGCACCCCUCCGGCGCGCCGCCUCGAGAAUCAUUUCGAUAUUAAUAGCGGAUGGUUUGACCGCGUAAUAUGAGGAAUCGUUGGCGCACGCGUAUAAUAUCACUCGGUCGUGCCAAGCGGCUCGAGGAACACGAAUGUUACACGGCCGAGAAUGACAAAUUAAUCGUCUGCUUGGUUGGACCUGCUCAACGCAUCGAAUCCUGUAGCAUGGCUGAGAGAUAUUUAGGUAGGUAGGAACAUUUUGUUCUAUUACGAAUUUAUACGAAUCGUGCUAUACGAAAAGAAAUUAAUUUAUAAUUGAAAAUUUUAGGUUAAGUUUGGAAUAUUAAUAGAUAUUUCAUAUAUAUUAAAUCCACGCCGUCAUAAAAUAUUUAACAUGAUUUCUACAAUACAGAAAUACAAAGCGUAGCACAUAUCUAACUAGGAAUCUCAUCAACUGAUCACCUGCAAUCACAUUUCCAAAUAGAACAUCACGGUCGGGUAGUGCUGCAGUCAAGGAGGAUUGCGGCUGCUCGAGCCCGUUACAAAGUCGGCAAUUAUCGAGGAGUGGCCCCAGUCGACCUCUUUGAAAACGCGCGUUAUUCGAUGUCCUCUCCUCCGUCACGAUGGAUGCACUCGCGGUAUGCCGUGAUGUCACGUGGACUGGGCAGCGUCGGGUCUCGUAGGUUAAUUUCACCGCGAUAAGAUCGUAUGAGCGGAUUACGCGGCGGAACACGAUCGAACACCUGUAACGAACAUGAUUUUCUUAUGAACGGUGGAACGGUCCGCGUCCGGUUUUCCCUCUAUUUGAGAGUUAUUCGAUACGCCCGAUAUUUUCUCGAUAUCCAUAUGAGCAUUAAUAAAUGGAGAGACGGAGAAGAGGAACUCACCAGGACAUGCGCGCGAUUUUUUCAACACACGAUGGAGAUUUCAGGUUAUACGAUCGGGGUUAAUGACUGAGGUGUAGUCGAGCGGUCUAGGAAUACCGCUGAGUUUUCUUAUCGAUCACAUCUUGAUUAGGAAAAGCAAUGGACCGUAUGAAACUGUUGCACGAGCAUUGGAAAUUCGUAAUAUGCCUUGAUAUGCUUGAACUGGAAACGAUUUAAAUCGUGGAAUUUAUGGAAUUGAUGGUAUUCCAAUCGACGUUUACAUGAUUAUAUCUUUAUUGUACGUAUAAUACUAUUGAUUUAUUUUUAUAACUGUCUUCGCGUUCUCAUAUUUCUUAAAAUAUAUAUCUUUAUGUUAAAAGCAACACUUAUUUAUUAAUUAUUGAAAGUUAUUGUUAUAGGAUUAAUGGAAAAGGGAUGGUCUUUUAUAACUAGAAGAAAAAAAUACUCGUCAAAUUAUCUUCUAUACGAAUUAUAAUUAAAUGAUAUUCAUACUUGUUUAAACAUUCUGCUAUUCUUAUACUUUUUAUCCAAACUUUCAAAAAUAUACUAUCACGAUUCAUAAAAUAAUAUCUUUUACAGAAAUAUCUAUUAAGAACAGGUGAUGAACAACUAUUUGGAAAAAGUGGAUUUGGAAAAUCCGACCACCCACAGCAAAUUUGUGUAGGCGUUGCAUCAGUGCUCGGCCGAGCGCGGAUAAAAUAGUGAGGGAGAACCGGUACUCUUCAAGAGUCAUUCUAUUCGAAACACUUUCUCUGGAUCGUCAAUUGAUCUUAAGGACACGAUUCGAUUCAGUUCAAUGGUUAUGUUCACCGUUCCACUAUUUUUCAUUCUUCAAUAUAUCAAUAAUAUAUAAUAAUACAUCCAUUUCAAUUUACGUAUAUUUUUAACAUUGCGAUUUGAUUGAAAUUUUGAUUUUGAUUAAAACAGAAUUACAAAAUGUUUUCGAGAAUUGGAUAUUAUACGUAUAGAUAAUUCAAGUGAAAUAUCGAACAUAACCUCAACGGAAAAGGAUUAAUUAAAAUCGAAGACGAAGGAGAGUUCACCCGGUGCACCACAAGGCUACGAUAUUCCUGUUCCUUUUGUCCGCACGGAUCGCUGCUUCGAGCAGCCGAGCUGAAAGUGCCAACGAUUAAUAACAUGAUACGCACGCAGUGAGGAUCUCUCGUACUCGCCAUUAGUCGUAGCCGCACUCUUAUCGCGGCACGGUCUCUCCACGGUUACGGUCACGAUUUCGGAGACACUGGUGCGCAACCGACCGUGUAAUUUACUGCGAAUCAGCGUCAAUUUAGCGAUACUCGACUAGAUCAUCGCCAAGCUCUUUUAUCUACUUUGUUCGAGUAGAUAGAACUCAUUGGAAUUAUGCGAAAAGCGGAUUAUUGGAACGAGUUUUUAAGAGUAUCAGUGAUAAUUAGAAAAGAGAGGAAACAGAAAUGAUAUGAAAUCAUUAGUAGCAAGAUACCAGUGGUAGAAAGGAAAAUAUAAGAUAACAAGGAAGUAAAACGGAAAUCAUAUUGCAUGCGUCUAUCUUUAAACUCUUCUGAUAGAGACGAGUGUACAUAGGGAUUAAAUCGUUGUAUGAAACUCCACCUGUGAACAACAUUGCACUUGACGGCAAAAAUCCAAUGCCACGAUUUUUCAUGCAACAUUGUGAGGAACGUAUAUAGCGCUUCCGUAAUAUUACCUCAAAGAUUAUACGGAACAGGAUACUUUUAUUAACCUAUCCGAGACAAAAAUCUCGUCAGCGGUCGUAAACUUCAAAGUACCGACGAUAAGAACUGUGGGGGACACGAAUCGAUAUCAAGGCGGUGUCCUAUAGGGAAAUUCUCUUCAUGGAAUGCGGACUCAUUGCCCGGCGUUAUAAAAUUAAGCAUCGCGUUUCAACAUGCAAUCACGCUGUGUGCUACCAGUUUCUCGCGAUGAUUCGUUCACAGGAGAAUGCAAGCUGAUUGCCUGGAACAUUAUGAUUGUGGUAUACAGGAUGAAUAUUUGCUGAUUUUUAAUUUAAUAAUUUUUAUCUAACUUAUCUCUGUUGAUUGAGAAAGUCGAGUUAACUCGUUAUCUAUAUUGUUAAUAUUUCAGAUUUUAUAAUUAUACAUACAUACAUAUAUAUUAUUAAAAUUGAGGUUAAUACAAGCAAUAUAUAUAUAUAAUAUAAUAAUAAUAUAUUAAUUAUGAUUAUGAGUGAGAAUUAUAUUUUUAAUAUAGUAGAAUCAUCGAAUAGAUCAUUACAUGAAUUCAAUCGAAUAUCAGGUUUUAAUACCUCGUGGGAUUAGGACAGUGAAAUGUUGCACGUUAUAGCACUGUCUGGGAAAGGAUCAUUUUCGUUACGUAAUCGCAUUGAGUAGGCUAGCUUUUGCACUUCGUCUGCGUCACGGAUAUGUCGGUCCACUGUUGGAUUAUUAACGCCUGUUUUUCUUGAUAGUUCUAUAGUAAUUUGUAUAGCCUGAUGUCAUAAUGUGAAACGUU